RNAcentral lists this ribosomal RNA (2880 nucleotides) under Neisseria gonorrhoeae. Its description in RNAcentral is "bacterial LSU rRNA". It matches the Rfam family "Bacterial large subunit ribosomal RNA". Lineage: Bacteria; Pseudomonadati; Pseudomonadota; Betaproteobacteria; Neisseriales; Neisseriaceae. The record is from RNAcentral.
AUAAGUGCAUCAGGCGGAUGCCUUGGCGAUGAUAGGCGACGAAGGACGUGUAAGCCUGCGAAAAGCGCGGGGGAGCUGGCAAUAAAGCUAUGAUUCCGCGAUGUCCGAAUGGGGAAACCCACUGCAUUCUGUGCAGUAUCCUAAGUUGAAUACAUAGGCUUAGAGAAGCGAACCCGGAGAACUGAACCAUCUAAGUACCCGGAGGAAAAGAAAUCAACCGAGAUUCCGCAAGUAGUGGCGAGCGAACGCGGAGGAGCCUGUACGUAAUAACUGUCGAGAUAGAAGAACAAGCUGGGAAGCUUGACCAUAGCGGGUGACAGUCCCGUAUUCGAAAUCUCAACAGCGGUACUAAGCGUACGAAAAGUAGGGCGGGACACGUGAAAUCCUGUCUGAAUAUGGGGGGACCAUCCUCCAAGGCUAAAUACUCAUCAUCGACCGAUAGUGAACCAGUACCGUGAGGGAAAGGCGAAAAGAACCCCGGGAGGGGAGUGAAACAGAACCUGAAACCUGAUGCAUACAAACAGUGGGAGCGCCCUAGUGGUGUGACUGCGUACCUUUUGUAUAAUGGGUCAACGACUUACAUUCAGUAGCGAGCUUAACCGGAUAGGGGAGGCGUAGGGAAACCGAGUCUUAAUAGGGCGAUGAGUUGCUGGGUGUAGACCCGAAACCGAGUGAUCUAUCCAUGGCCAGGUUGAAGGUGCCGUAACAGGUACUGGAGGACCGAACCCACGCAUGUUGCAAAAUGCGGGGAUGAGCUGUGGGUAGGGGUGAAAGGCUAAACAAACUCGGAGAUAGCUGGUUCUCCCCGAAAACUAUUUAGGUAGUGCCUCGAGCAAGACACUGAUGGGGGUAAAGCACUGUUAUGGCUAGGGGGUUAUUGCAACUUACCAACCCAUGGCAAACUCAGAAUACCAUCAAGUGGUUCCUCGGGAGACAGACAGCGGGUGCUAACGUCCGUUGUCAAGAGGGAAACAACCCAGACCGCCGGCUAAGGUCCCAAAUGAUAGAUUAAGUGGUAAACGAAGUGGGAAGGCACAGACAGCCAGGAUGUUGGCUUAGAAGCAGCCAUCAUUUAAAGAAAGCGUAAUAGCUCACUGGUCGAGUCGUCCUGCGCGGAAGAUGUAACGGGGCUCAAAUCUAUAACCGAAGCUGCGGAUGCCGGUUUACCGGCAUGGUAGGGGAGCGUUCUGUAGGCUGAUGAAGGUGCAUUGUAAAGUGUGCUGGAGGUAUCAGAAGUGCGAAUGUUGACAUGAGUAGCGAUAAAGCGGGUGAAAAGCCCGCUCGCCGAAAGCCCAAGGUUUCCUACGCAACGUUCAUCGGCGUAGGGUGAGUCGGCCCCUAAGGCGAGGCAGAAAUGCGUAGUCGAUGGGAAACAGGUUAAUAUUCCUGUACUUGAUUCAAAUGCGAUGUGGGGACGGAGAAGGUUAGGUUGGCAAGCUGUUGGAAUAGCUUGUUUAAGCCGGUAGGUGGAAGACUUAGGCAAAUCCGGGUUUUCUUAACACCGAGAAGUGAUGACGAGUGUCUACGGACACGAAGCAACCGAUACCACGCUUCCAGGAAAAGCCACUAAGCUUCAGUUUGAAUCGAACCGUACCGCAAACCGACACAGGUGGGCAGGAUGAGAAUUCUAAGGCGCUUGAGAGAACUCGGGAGAAGGAACUCGGCAAAUUGAUACCGUAACUUCGGGAGAAGGUAUGCCCUCUAAGGUUAAGGACUUGCUCCGUAAGCCCCGGAGGGUCGCAGAGAAUAGGUGGCUGCGACUGUUUAUUAAAAACACAGCACUCUGCCAACACGAAAGUGGACGUAUAGGGUGUGACGCCUGCCCGGUGCCGGAAGGUUAAUUGAAGAUGUGCAAGCAUCGGAUCGAAGCCCCGGUAAACGGCGGCCGUAACUAUAACGGUCCUAAGGUAGCGAAAUUCCUUGUCGGGUAAGUUCCGACCCGCACGAAUGGCGUAACGAUGGCCACACUGUCUCCUCCCGAGACUCAGCGAAGUUGAAGUGGUUGUGAAGAUGCAAUCUACCCGCUGCUAGACGGAAAGACCCCGUGAACCUUUACUGUAGCUUUGCAUUGGACUUUGAAGUCACUUGUGUAGGAUAGGUGGGAGGCUUGGAAGCAGAGACGCCAGUCUCUGUGGAGUCGUCCUUGAAAUACCACCCUGGUGUCUUUGAGGUUCUAACCCAGACCCGUCAUCCGGGUCGGGGACCGUGCAUGGUAGGCAGUUUGACUGGGGCGGUCUCCUCCCAAAGCGUAACGGAGGAGUUCGAAGGUUACCUAGGUCCGGUCGGAAAUCGGACUGAUAGUGCAAUGGCAAAAGGUAGCUUAACUGCGAGACCGACAAGUCGGGCAGGUGCGAAAGCAGGACAUAGUGAUCCGGUGGUUCUGUAUGGAAGGGCCAUCGCUCAACGGAUAAAAGGUACUCCGGGGAUAACAGGCUGAUUCCGCCCAAGAGUUCAUAUCGACGGCGGAGUUUGGCACCUCGAUGUCGGCUCAUCACAUCCUGGGGCUGUAGUCGGUCCCAAGGGUAUGGCUGUUCGCCAUUUAAAGUGGUACGUGAGCUGGGUUUAAAACGUCGUGAGACAGUUUGGUCUCUAUCUGCAGUGGGCGUUGGAAGUUUGACGGGGGCUGCUCCUAGUACGAGAGGACCGGAGUGGACGAACCUCUGGUGUACCGGUUGUAACGCCAGUUGCAUAGCCGGGUAGCUAAGUUCGGAAGAGAUAAGCGCUGAAAGCAUCUAAGCGCGAAACUCGCCUGAAGAUGAGACUUCCCUUGCGGUUUAACCGCACUAAAGGGUCGUUCGAGACCAGGACGUUGAUAGGUGGGGUGUGGAAGCGCGGUAACGCGUGAAGCUAACCCAUACUAAUUGCCCGUGAGGCUUGACU